GGCCUGCAGCCCGCCGCGGCGCGUAGCCAAUCCGCGACCAGCACCACGCGGCUUCAGCCUAUCAGCGAGUAGGAAUCCCCAGAGCAGGCAUCAGUAGCGGAAAGCCCAUCUACAGCGCCGCAGACAGACGCCAGAGUGGGCGGGGCGGGGUCCACCACCUCGCUAAGGGCCAGCUUUGGAAGGCCGGCGCGUAGGGUUAAGAAUGAGACCUGUGUAGUUAAUCGUCUACUGACGCCUCCCUUGGGAUGAAUCCAGAACUUUCUCUCAAGAUUCAACUCCCUCAGCCCAGGUGCUGUCUACUUCUCAACUGUCACUACUACAUCCAUCCUUGGAUUUCCCUAAACCUGUCUCCGUGAGGCGACAGCCACUAGAAACAGUUCCAGGAAAGCCUUAAGAUCUGAAACUACAACUUCCAGAAUCCUUUGCGCGCGGCUAAGGGGCGGUGAUUCCGGAGCCGUCUCCCGCUAAGAGAUGGCUGAGUCCUCGGGUUCACCGCACCGCUUGUUGUACAAACAGGUGGGCUCGCCGCCCUGGAAAGAAGCUUUCAGGCAGGGAUGUCUCGAGAGAAUGAGAAACAGCCGGCACAGGCUCCUGAACAAGUACCGCCAGGCUGCAGGUGGCAACCCAGGGAGAGCCUCAGACAAGUUUCUUGUGCAAGAAGUGAUGGAGGAAGAGUGGCAUUCUUUGCAGUUGGUAGAGAAUUGUCCGGAGGCCUUGGUUCAGUUGGGAUUGCCAGAGGACCUAGCUGUGCUGCAGGACAUUGAACAGGAGCUGUGUGAUGAAGAAAAGUCCAUCAUAAGCGAGUAUGAGAAGAGUUUACAGUUUGAUGAAAAUUGUCUCAACGCCAUGUUGGCUGAGUGGGAAGCAAACCCCCUCAUCUGUCCUGUGUGUAUAAAGUACAACCUGAGAAUCAUGAACAGUGUGGUCACGUGUCCGUGUGGCCUGCACAUCCCACUUCACGUAAGUGUCCACACAGAUUCCCUAUAUACGCUGACUGUAUUAAAGAACCUCUGGUGGUGGUUCAGAAUUAGUUGUGCACCUCUGUGCCAGUUACUUAUUGUCACAGACAAGGCACCCAGCAGCAAUAACCCGAGAGGUUUAUUUUGGCUUAUGAUUUCAGAGGGGUCAGUGCAUCACGACAGGAAAAGUGAGGCAGAGUGCCUCCAUGGAGGUGAAAAGCAAGACUCCUCAGCAUUUUGGCUAAUAGGACACAAGAUCUGUUCCUAGUAGACCAUGUAUGUCCACCAGAUAAACUUCCUGUGCUUUACCUGCAUGUAUGCCUGUGCACCACGUGUGUGUCUGGAACCCUGGAAGUAAGAAGAGGGUGUUGGGUCCCCUGUAACUGGAAUUACACAUGGGUGUGAGCUGCCAUGGGGAUACUGUCAGCCCAGGUCCUCUAGAAGAUCAGCAAGUGCUCUUAACCACUCAUCCAUCUCUCCAGAUCCCCAUUUUUGAGGCAGAGUCUAGUAGUAGCCCAGGCUGGCCUCAAAUUCAACUGUAGCUCAACUUCUGAUCCUUCUGAUGUCACCUUCCAUUUGGUCUUUCUACUGUGCUGGGAACGAAGUACAUGACUCAUUCUUGCUAGGCAAGCCCUCUACCACCCAAGCUACAUCCCCAGCUCUACAGUCUAAGGCUCCGAAGAAUCAAACUGUUUUGAUUGGUGAUUUAGGUUUCUUUUAACCUGUUGGUUUUUCAGUAUUUAAGAUUAGUUGGGGCUGGAGAGAUGGUUCAACUGUUAAGAGCACUGACCGCUCUUACAGAGGACUGAGGUUCAAUUUCAGUACCCACAUGGGCAGCUCACAACUGUCUGUAACUCCAGGAUCCACCACCCUCACACACAAAAUACCUACAGGCAAAACACCAAAAAAAAAAAAAUUAACAAAAAGAUUAGUUGUGGUUGAACUUUCCCAGUCUCCAGAGCUGACGGAGCAGAAGCUGCGGGGCUGUUUGGAGGAUCAUGUAAACGAGCACAGUGCACACUGUCCCCACAUGCCUGAAUUUUCAGUCACCGGUGGACCAGAGGAAAAGCCGAGCCUUCUGAUGAGCUGCCUGGCAUGUGACACUUGGGCUGUGAUCUUCUAGCCAUCCUGGCCUCACCUUCACUGCUGGGCUGAGAACAACUCAUUCCCUCUGAGAGGGCCCCUGCAUGCACAAGCCUUUUGUAUAUAACUUAUUUUAUAUUAAAACUUUUCAAACAU
Molecule: RNA transcript, 2198 nt
Organism: Microtus ochrogaster (prairie vole)
Lineage: Eukaryota; Metazoa; Chordata; Mammalia; Rodentia; Cricetidae
Gene: Rpain
Gene name: RPA interacting protein
Exons: 6
Source: RefSeq, a predicted model, not a curated record